AAAGGGCUUGCAUAAAAGAACUAGAUGAUAAACUUGACUAGCUUACAUCCUUUCUUCUUGACUCUUUCUCUAUUUAUUCUAAUAAAUAUAAUUUUACGAAAGUGUUAAGGCUUUGAUGAUAGUGAAGCCCAAACAAUAUUGGAGCAGUAUACAAGUCCGCAAUACCAAAUUGAGAUGCAUACCUCGGUAGGCAAUUUUGUAUCUGGUUGAUAGGCUUUUCAUCUCAAUUUACUAUUUUAACGAUGUACAUUGAUAUAAUUAUUGUUGCUUGAAAGUUGUAAGUUUUAGUCAAGUGGUGGAUUUUAUUAUCUUGUUUAGUUGGUGAGAUAUACUUGAAGAAUCCUAAAUUGUUUGACAAAAUAGGAAUACAAUCUCCUAGUCAUAGAAUUCUUUCGGAAGGACCUUUUGGCAGUGAAGUUGGUGGCAAAGGCUAUAGCUGGUGAAGCUGUUGUUUCGUAUUACCAAAUGACUAUAUCUGAAUUUGUUGAGUUGGUUUUGGUGUUGGUUAUGCUCAUAUUAGAGAUCUGUCACUAUCUCUAAUCCUCAACCAGUGAUAUCAUGAUCGUAAAUAGAUCUUAGAGAACAUAAUGGCUCUUGCAGUUGAUCAAACAAAUCAUCAAUCUUGGACAGCAGAUAUCUGUUCUUGAAUGUCACCUUAUUGAGCUCUCUAUAGUCAAUGCAAAGAUGCAUCGACCCAUCUUUCUUCUCACAAAUAGUACUGAUGCUUCUCAAGAUGACACACUAGGUCGAAUAAAGCUCUUGUCCAACAAUUCUUACAAUGGGUCCUUUAACUUCUUCAACAUAGUUGCAGCCAUUAUGUAUGGAGCUUUCGAUAUAGGAACGGUGUCUACUUCCAACUCAAUAGCAAAAUCAACCUCUCUAUGAGGUGUAAGUCCUGAAAGCUCUGUAGAUACCGUAUUUGGUCAUAUAUUUAUUUUUUUAUUUUUUUAUUAUAAAA
Long non-coding RNA from Cucumis sativus (cucumber), 958 nucleotides. RefSeq lists it as uncharacterized. Lineage: Eukaryota; Viridiplantae; Streptophyta; Magnoliopsida; Cucurbitales; Cucurbitaceae. The transcript is spliced from 2 exons. The record is from RefSeq and is a predicted model, not a curated record.